Molecule: ribosomal RNA, 439 nt
Filed under: uncultured bacterium
Lineage: Bacteria
Description: partial 16S ribosomal RNA
Rfam family: Bacterial small subunit ribosomal RNA
Source: RNAcentral
CUACGGGGCGCUGCAGUGGGGAAUAUUGCACAAUGGGGGAAACCCUGAUGCAGCAACGCCGCGUGGAGGAUGACGCAUUUCGGUGUGUAAACUCCUUUUAUAUCCCAAGAUAAUGACGGUAGGAUAUGAAUAAGCACCGGCUAACUCCGUGCCAGCAGCCGCGGUAAUACGGAGGGUGCAAGCGUUACUCGGAAUCACUGGGCGUAAAGGGCGCGUAGGCGGGUUGUCAAGUCUUGAGUGAAAUCCAACGGCUCAACCGUUGAACUGCUUGAGAAACUGGCAGCCUAGAGUAAGGGAGAGGUAGAUGGAAUUGGUGGUGUAGGGGUAAAAUCCGUAGAGAUCACCAGGAAUACCCAUUGCGAAGGCGAUCUGCUGGAACUUUACUGACGCUGAGGCGCGAAAGCGUGGGGAGCAAACAGGAUUAGAUACCCCUGUAGUC